UACAGAGGGUGCAAGCGUUGCUCGGAAUUAUUGGGCGUAAAGGGUAGGUAGGUGGUCUCAUUUGUCUGGGGUGAAAUCCUUGAGCUUAACUCAAGAAGUGCCCCAGAAACGGUGAGACUAGAGUACUGGAGAGGGUCGUAGAAUUCCUGGUGUAGCGGUGAAAUGCGUAGAGAUCAGGAGGAAUACCAGCGGCGAAGGCGGCGACCUGGACAGUAACUGACACUCAACUACGAAAGCGUGGGGAGCAAACAGG
This 253-nucleotide ribosomal RNA is filed under the name uncultured bacterium. RNAcentral's name for it is "partial 16S ribosomal RNA". It matches the Rfam family "Bacterial small subunit ribosomal RNA", at positions 524 to 776 of the family's 1533-position model. The record is from RNAcentral.